This 69-nucleotide transfer RNA is filed under the name Parazen pacificus (parazen). RNAcentral's name for it is "tRNA-Ala". It matches the Rfam family "tRNA". From Rfam's summary of the family: Transfer RNA (tRNA) molecules are approximately 80 nucleotides in length. Their secondary structure includes four short double-helical elements and three loops (D, anti-codon, and T loops). The record is from RNAcentral. Lineage: Eukaryota; Metazoa; Chordata; Actinopteri; Zeiformes; Parazenidae.
AAGGCCUUAGCUUAAUUAAAGUGUCUGUUUUGCAUACAGAAGAUGGGGGAUAGAGUCCCCCAGGUUUUA